GCCUAAAACUCAGCCCUACAAUAACGAAUGACAACUCAGUCUCUACUAACAAUAAAUAAAACAUUUUACACUCAUAGUAAAGGCGAUUGAAAAAUGCUUAGGAGCUCUAAAUACUGUACCGCAAGGGAAAAGUGAAAUAAAAAUGAAAUAUUUUAAAGCACAAUAAAGCAGAGAUUUAACCUCGUACCUUUUGCAUCAUGGUCUAGCUAGUCUAAUCAAGCAAAGUGAACCUUAAGUUUGACCCCCCGAAACUAAGCGAGCUACUUCGAAACAGCCCUAAGGGGCCAACCCGUCUCUGUUGCAAAAGAGUGGGAAGAUUUUCAAGUAGAGGUGAUAGACCUACCGAGCUUAGAGAUAGCUGGUUAUUCAGGAAAAGGAUAUGAGUCCUACCUUAAGAUCUCAAUUUAACUUAAAGUAAAAACUUAGACUUAAGAGCUAUUCAAAUAAGGUACAGCCUAUUUGAAUCAGGAUACAACCUCCAACAUAGGGUAAUGACAGAUAUAACGUGACCAAGUGGGCCUAAAAGCAGCCACCUUUUAAAAAGCGUUAAAGCUUUAUUACAAAAAAAACUAAUACCAAUAUUUACCCAAAACCCUUAACCACUACUGAAUGACUCUAUAAUCAUAUAGAGAACUAUAUGCUAGAACUAGUAACAAGAAGACGGACUUCUCCAAAAUACAAACGUAAGCCGAAAUGAACAACUCACCGGCAUUUAUCGCUAGUGAACCAACAGUAGCAACCCCAACAAGAAAAUUCUACUUAUGUAUAGCGUUAACCUUACACUAGAGUAUUACCGGAAAGAUUAAAAGAUGAGGAAGGAACUCGGCAAAUUACUAACCCCGCCUGUUUACCAAAAACAUCGCCUCCUGAUAAAUCAUAGGAGGUCCAGCCUGCCCAGUGACAAAGUUAAACGGCCGCGGUACCCUAACCGUGCGAAGGUAGCGCAAUCACUUGUUCUUUAAAUGAGGACUAGUAUGAAUGGCAUCACGAGGGUUACACUGUCUCCCCCAUCCAAUCAGUGAAACUGAUCUCCCCGUGAAGAAGCGGGGAUAAAAUUAUAAGACGAGAAGACCCCAUGGAGCUUUAAACUCAGUAUCAACUGCCCCAUAAUAUACCAAAGUUAAUUGACAGCUAUGACUACUA
This 1143-nucleotide ribosomal RNA is filed under the name Micryletta inornata (false ornate narrow-mouthed frog). Its description in RNAcentral is "partial 16S ribosomal RNA". It matches the Rfam family "Bacterial large subunit ribosomal RNA", at positions 157 to 2166 of the family's 2925-position model. The record is from RNAcentral. Lineage: Eukaryota; Metazoa; Chordata; Amphibia; Anura; Microhylidae.